Non-coding RNA from Cynara cardunculus var. scolymus (artichoke), 74 nucleotides. NCBI's taxonomy places the organism in Eukaryota, Viridiplantae, Streptophyta, Magnoliopsida, Asterales, Asteraceae. The record is from the annotation of a RefSeq genome assembly.
UGGUCUGUGGCUCAGUUGGUUAGAGCAUUGGCCUUAUAAGCCGAAGGUCGUAGGUUCGAGCCUUGUCGUACCAU